AUUGAACGCUAGCGGGAUGCUUUACACAUGCAAGUCGAACGAGUGGCGGACGGGUGAGUAAUAUCUCGGAACGUGCCCAGUAGCGGGGGAUAACUACUCGAAAGAGUGGCUAAUACCGCAUACUAUGGGAUCGGCCGUUAUCGGAGUAGCUAGUUGGGGGGGUAAAGGCUCACCAAGGCAACGAUCCGGAGCUGUGUUGAGAGGAGGACCGCCCACACUGGGACUGAGACACGGCCCAGACUCCUACGAGAGGCAGCAGUGGGGAAUUUUGGACAAUGGGGGAAACCCUUAUCCAGCCAUCCCGCGUGUAUGAGAAGGCCUUCGGGUUGUAAAGUACUUUUGGCAGAGAAGCGGUAUCUGCAGAAUAAGCACCGGCUAACUACGUGCCAGCAGCCGCGGUAAUAC
RNAcentral lists this ribosomal RNA (405 nucleotides) under uncultured bacterium. RNAcentral describes it as "partial 16S ribosomal RNA". It matches the Rfam family "Bacterial small subunit ribosomal RNA", at positions 30 to 526 of the family's 1533-position model. The record is from RNAcentral.